This 560-nucleotide ribosomal RNA is filed under the name uncultured bacterium. RNAcentral describes it as "partial 16S ribosomal RNA". It matches the Rfam family "Bacterial small subunit ribosomal RNA", at positions 355 to 902 of the family's 1533-position model. The record is from RNAcentral.
UGGGGAAUUUUGGACAAUGGGGGGAAACCCCUGAUCCAGCCAUCCCGCGUGUGCGAUGAAGGCCUUCGGGUUGUAAAGCACUUUUGGCAGGAAAGAAACGUCGCGGGUUAAUACCCCGCGAAACUGACGGUACCUGCAGAAUAAGCACCGGCUAACUACGUGCCAGCAGCCGCGGUAAUACGUAGGGUGCAAGCGUUAAUCGGAAUUACUGGGCGUAAAGCGUGCGCAGGCGGUUCGGAAAGAAAGAUGUGAAAUCCCAGAGCUUAACUUUGGAACUGCAUUUUUAACUACCGGGCUAGAGUGUGUCAGAGGGAGGUGGAAUUCCGCGUGUAGCAGUGAAAUGCGUAGAUAUGCGGAGGAACACCGAUGGCGAAGGCAGCCUCCUGGGGAUAACACUGACGCUCAUGCACGAAAGCGUGGGGAGCAAAACAGGAUUAGAUACCCUGGUAGUCCACGCCCUAAAACGAUGUCAACUAGCUGUUGGGGCCUUCGGGCCUUGGUAGCGCAGCUAACGCGUGAAGUUGACCGCCUGGGGAGUACGGUCGCAAGAUUAAAAACUC